RNAcentral lists this ribosomal RNA (362 nucleotides) under Sylvilagus floridanus (eastern cottontail). RNAcentral's name for it is "partial 12S ribosomal RNA". It matches the Rfam family "Bacterial small subunit ribosomal RNA", at positions 769 to 1289 of the family's 1533-position model. The record is from RNAcentral. Lineage: Eukaryota; Metazoa; Chordata; Mammalia; Lagomorpha; Leporidae.
AAACUGGGAUUAGAUACCCCACUAUGCUUAGCCCUAAACUUAAAUAAUUCCAUAACAAAAUUACUCGCCAGAGAACUACAAGCCAGAGCUUAAAACUCAAAGGACUUGGCGGUGCUUUAUACCCACCUAGAGGAGCCUGUUCUAUAAUCGAUAAACCCCGAUAAACCUUACCACUCUUUGCCAACUCAGCCUAUAUACCGCCAUCUUCAGCGAACCCUAAAAAGGAACAAAAGUAAGCUCAAUUAUCCCCAUAAAAACGUUAGGUCAAGGUGUAGCCUAUAGAGUGGAAAGUAAUGGGCUACAUUUUCUACUUCAGAACAUACGAAAGCCCUUAUGAAACUCUAAGGGCCAAAGGAGGAUUU